This 550-nucleotide ribosomal RNA is filed under the name uncultured organism. RNAcentral describes it as "SSU rRNA". It matches the Rfam family "Bacterial small subunit ribosomal RNA", at positions 505 to 1056 of the family's 1533-position model. The record is from RNAcentral.
GUGCCAGCAGCCGCGGUAAUACGUAGGGUGCGAGCGUUGUCCGGAAUUACUGGGCGUAAAGAGCUCGUAGGUGGUUUGUCGCGUUGUUCGUGAAAACUCACAGCUUAACUGUGGGCGUGCGGGCGAUACGGGCAGACUAGAGUACUGCAGGGGAGACUGGAAUUCCUGGUGUAGCGGUGGAAUGCGCAGAUAUCAGGAGGAACACCGGUGGCGAAGGCGGGUCUCUGGGCAGUAACUGACGCUGAGGAGCGAAAGCGUGGGGAGCGAACAGGAUUAGAUACCCUGGUAGUCCACGCCGUAAACGGUGGGUACUAGGUGUGGGUUCCUUCCUUGGGAUCCGUGCCGUAGCUAACGCAUUAAGUACCCCGCCUGGGGAGUACGGCCGCAAGGCUAAAACUCAAAGGAANUGACGGGGGCCCGCACAAGCGGCGGAGCAUGUGGAUUAAUUCGAUGCAACGCGAAGAACCUUACCUGGGUUUGACAUGCACAGGACGCCGGCAGGAUGUCGGUUCCCUUGUGGCCUGUGUGCAGUAGAUGCAUGAGGGGCGAU